RNAcentral lists this ribosomal RNA (488 nucleotides) under uncultured bacterium. RNAcentral's name for it is "partial 16S ribosomal RNA". It matches the Rfam family "Bacterial small subunit ribosomal RNA", at positions 28 to 507 of the family's 1533-position model. The record is from RNAcentral.
GACGAACGCUGGCGGCGUGCUUAACACAUGCAAGUCGAACGGAAAGGCGCUGCUCUUGUUGGGUGCUCGAGGGGCGAACGGGUGAGUAACACGUGAGUAACCUGCCCUUGACUGUGGGAUACCUUCAGGAAACUGGGGCUAAUACCGGAUAGGAGCUCCUGCUGCAUGGUGGGGGUUGGAAAGUUUCGGCGGUUGGGGAUGGACUCGCGGCUUAUCAGCUUGUUGGUGGGGUAGUGGCUUACCAAGGCGUCGACGGGUAGCCGGCGGGAGCGGGCGACCGGCGACAUGGGGGGUGAGACGCCGCCCUGGCGCCUAAGAGAGGGCGCAGUGGCGUACGGUAGGCAGCGGUGGGAAAUAUUGCCCAGUGAGGGGAAGCGUGAGGCGGCGGCGCCGCGUGCGGGAUGAGGGCCUUCGGGUUGUGAACCGCUUUCGCCUGUGACGAAGCGUGGGUGACGGUAAUGGAUGAAGAAGCACCGGCUAACUACGUG